RNAcentral lists this ribosomal RNA (496 nucleotides) under uncultured bacterium. RNAcentral describes it as "partial 16S ribosomal RNA". It matches the Rfam family "Bacterial small subunit ribosomal RNA", at positions 28 to 506 of the family's 1533-position model. The record is from RNAcentral.
GAUGAACGCUGGCGGCGUGCCUAAUACAUGCAAGUCGAGCGAACAGACGAGGAGCUUGCUCCUCUGACGUUAGCGGCGGACGGGUGAGUAACACGUGGAUAACCUACCUAUAAGACUGGGAUAACUUCGGGAAACCGGAGCUAAUACCGGAUAAUAUAUUGAACCGCAUGGUUCAAUAGUGAAAGACGGUUUUGCUGUCACUUAUAGAUGGAUCCGCGCCGCAUUAGCUAGUUGGUAAGGUAACGGCUUACCAAGGCGACGAUGCGUAGCCGACCUGAGAGGGGGUGGGGCAACAUUGGAAAGGAGAGAGGGACAGACUCCCAAGGGGAGGCAGAAGAAGGAAAUUUUCAGAAUGGGGGAAAAGCUGGACGGGGCAAGACGGGGUGGGGGAUGAAGUUCUUCGGUUCGCAAAACGUGUUAAUUGGGGAGAAAAAAUUUUGAAAGUAACAUUGAACGCCUGGAGGGAACCAAAGCAGAAAGCCGAGGUAAACUAGGG